UACGUAGGUGGCAAGCGUUGUCCGGAAUUAUUGGGCGUAAAGGGCGUGUAGGUGGAUUUUUAAGUCGUGUGUCUAAGUGCGGUGCUCAACGCCGUAUGGGCGCAGGAAACUGGAGAUCUUGAGUGCAGGAGAGGAAAGUGGAAUUCCCAGUGUAGCGGUGAAAUGCGUAGAUAUUGGGAGGAACACCAGUGGCGAAGGCGACUUUCUGGACUGUGUCUGACACUGAGGCGCGAAAGCCAGGGGAGCGAACGGGAUUAGAUACCCCGGUAGUCCUGGCCGUAAACGAUGGGUACUAGGUGUAGAGGGUAUCGACCCCUUCUGUGCCGCAAGUUAACACUAUAAGUACCCCGCCUGGGGAGUACGGCCGCAAGGUUGAA
This 377-nucleotide ribosomal RNA is filed under the name uncultured bacterium. RNAcentral describes it as "bacterial SSU rRNA". It matches the Rfam family "Bacterial small subunit ribosomal RNA", at positions 524 to 898 of the family's 1533-position model. The record is from RNAcentral.